AUGUGAUGGCCCCAUCUCGGGGUACUGAGCAUAAUCAAACUGCGAAUGUCACGCCAACAUGCUCGGCAGUCAGACAGCGGGUGAUAAGGUCCGUUGUCAAGAGGGAAACAGCCCAGACCAUCAGCUAAGGUCCCAAAAUGUAUGCUAAGUGGAAAAGGAUGUGGAGAUGUACAGACAACUAGGAGGUUGGCUCAGAAGCAGCCAUCCUUUAAAGAGUGCGUAACAGCUCACUAGUCGAAUGACUCUGCGCCGAUAAUUUACCGGGGCUAAGCAUACUACCGAAGCUAUGGAUCCCAAGGGAUGGUAGGGGAGCGUUCCAUGAACGGAGAAGUACGACCGAAAGGACGUGUGGAGAUCAUGGAAGAGAGAAUGCCGGUGUGAGUAGCGGAACGUGGGUGAGAAUCCCACGCACCGAAAACCCAAGGUUUCCAGAGGAAGGUUCGUCCGCUCUGGGUAAGUCGGGACCUAAGGCGAGGCCGAAAGGCGUAGUCGAUGGACAACAGGUAGAGAUUCCUGUACCCGUAUAUAUGUGAAGGAAUGACGGAGAGAGGAAGCUGCAGCCAGCGGCUGGAAGAGCUGGUGCAAGCGAGAUAUCGGGAUGGCAGGCAAAUCCACCAUCCGAAACGAGAAGGCGUGAAGCGUACGGAAAGCUACGGCGAGUACGGAAGGCAGUGGAGGAACUUCCAAGAAAAGUUUCUAACGUUAAGUAUAUAUGGCCCGUACCGAAAAUGGACACACAUGGGUGAGGAGAGAAUCCUAAGGUGAGCGAGAGAACUAUAGCUAAGGAACUCUGCAAAAUGACUCCGUAACUUAGGGAGAAGGAGUGCUCAUAGAGAUAUGAGCCGCAGUGAAACGGCCCAAGCGACUGUUUACCAAAAACACAGCUCUCUGCUAAGCCGCAAGGCGAAGUAUAGGGGGUGACGCCUGCCCGGUGCUGGAAGGUUAAGGGGAGGGGUUAACGCAAGUGAAGCCCUGAACUGAAGCCCCAGUAAACGGCGGCCGUAACUAUAACGGUCCUAAGGUAGCGAAAUUCCUUGUCAGGUAAGUUCUGACCCGCACGAAAGGCGUAACGAUUUGGGCGCUGUCUCAGCUGUAGACUCGGUGAAGUCUUAGUACCUGUGAAGAUGCAGGUUACCCGCGACUAGACGGAAAGACCCCAUGGAGCUUCACUGCAGGUUGAUAUUGGGAUUUGAUGCAGCAUGUACAGGAUAGGUAGGAGGCAAAGAGAUGGAUACGCCAGUAUUCAAGGAGCCGCUGUUGGGAUACUACCCCUGUUGUAUUGGAUUUCUAACCGGACGACGUAGAGCCGUUGACGGGACAGUGUCAGUCGGGCAGUUUGACUGGGGCGGUCGCCUCCCAAAGAGUAACGGAGGCGCCCAAAGAUACCCUCAGCUUGGAUGGAAACCAAGCGCAGAGUGCAAAGGCAAAAGGGUGUUUGACUGCGAGACCUACAAGUCGAGCAGGGACGAAAGUCGGGCUUAGUGAUCCGG
RNAcentral lists this ribosomal RNA (1490 nucleotides) under human gut metagenome. Its description in RNAcentral is "bacterial LSU rRNA". It matches the Rfam family "Bacterial large subunit ribosomal RNA", at positions 916 to 2423 of the family's 2925-position model. The record is from RNAcentral.